GGAGUGUUAGCUCAGUCAGUACAGCGUCCGCCUCACAACCGGGAGGUCGUGGGUUCGAACCCCGGCCGCGUCA
Strongylocentrotus purpuratus (purple sea urchin) is the source of this 73-nucleotide non-coding RNA. NCBI's taxonomy places the organism in Eukaryota, Metazoa, Echinodermata, Echinoidea, Camarodonta, Strongylocentrotidae. The record is from Rfam.